AACGAACGCUGGCGGCAUGCCUAACACAUGCAAGUCGAACGAGAUCUUCGGGUCUAGUGGCGCACGGGUGCGUAACGCGUGGGAAUCUGCCCUUCGGUUCGGAAUAACAGUUGGAAACGACGGCUAAUACCGGAUGAUGACGAAAGGCCAAAGAUUUAUCGCCAGAGGAUGAGCCCGCGUAGGAUUAGCUCGUUGGUGUGGUAAAGGCGCACCCAGGCGACGAUCCUUAGCUGGUCUGAGAGGAUGAACAGACACACUGGGACUGAGACACGGCCCAGACUCCUACGGGAGGCAGCAGUGGGGAAUAUUGGACAAUGGGCGAAAGCCUGAUCCAGCAAUGCCGCGUGAGUGAUGAAGGCCUUAGGGUUGUAAAGCUCUUUUACCCGGGAUGAUAAUGACAGUACCGGGAGAAUAAGCUCCGGCUAACUCCGUGCCAGCAGCCGCCUUAA
This 449-nucleotide ribosomal RNA is filed under the name uncultured bacterium. Its description in RNAcentral is "partial 16S ribosomal RNA". It matches the Rfam family "Bacterial small subunit ribosomal RNA", at positions 29 to 523 of the family's 1533-position model. The record is from RNAcentral.